This 259-nucleotide ribosomal RNA is filed under the name uncultured bacterium. RNAcentral describes it as "partial 16S ribosomal RNA". It matches the Rfam family "Bacterial small subunit ribosomal RNA", at positions 793 to 1055 of the family's 1533-position model. The record is from RNAcentral.
GUCCACGCCGUAAACGAUGAUCACUCGCUGUUGGCGAUACACAGUCAGCGGCUAAGCAAAAGCAUUAAGUGAUCCACCUGGGGAGUACGGUCGCAAGACUGAAACUCAAAGGAAUUGACGGGGGCCCGCACAAGCGGAGGAACAUGUGGUUUAAUUCGAUGAUACGCGAGGAACCUUACCUGGGCUUAAAUGUAGAGUGCAUGAGGUAGAAAUACUUCUUCCCUUCGGGGCUCUUUACAAGGUGCUGCAUGGUUGUCGU